This 510-nucleotide ribosomal RNA is filed under the name uncultured bacterium. RNAcentral's name for it is "partial 16S ribosomal RNA". It matches the Rfam family "Bacterial small subunit ribosomal RNA", at positions 28 to 507 of the family's 1533-position model. The record is from RNAcentral.
GACGAACGCUGGCGGCGUGCUUAACACAUGCAAGUCGAACGAAGAGCGAUGGAAGCUUGCUUCUAUCAAUCUUAGUGGCGAACGGGUGAGUAACGCGUAAUCAACCUGCCCUUCAGAGGGGGACAACAGUUGGAAACGACUGCUAAUACCGCAUACGAUCUAAUCUCGGCAUCGAGGAUAGAUGAAAGGUGGCCUCUACAUGUAAGCUAUCACUGAAGGAGGGGAUUGCGUCUGAUUAGCUAGUUGGAGGGGUAACGGCCCACCAAGGCGAUGAUCAGUAGCCGGUCUGAGAGAAUGAGCGGCCACAUUGGGACUGAGACACGGCCCAGACUCCUACGGGAGGCAGCAGUGGGGAAUCUUCCGCAAUGGACGAAAGUCUGACGGAGCAACGCCGCGUGAGUGAUGACGGCCUUCGGGUUGUAAAGCUCUGUUAAUCGGGACGAAAGGCCUUCUUGCGAAUAGUGAGAAGGAUUGACGGUACCGGAAUAGAAAGCCACGGCUAACUACGUG